GCCGAGCUCAGCAGCGCGAGCUUGUAACUCAAGCGAGGGCGUUAGUGUGGUUGGAGAUUGGCCUGGCUGGGUUGGUAGGGCUUGGUGGGGUGAUUUAACUGGCUUGCCCGUUCCAAGUAGGGAGUUGUGCCCCGAUAUUCGGGCUAAGGCCUGGGUGUUUGGGUUCCUAAAGCUGGAGGGCACCGCGUGAGGCUGGUUUCACAGAGCAGCGUUCACCUCCCGCUCUCUUCGGUGGAUGGACAACGGGCCGGGACCCUUCAAGCCCAACAACGCCUACCCAGCCUCUCUCAACCCGACAACCACAUUU
This 307-nucleotide signal recognition particle RNA is filed under the name Vitis vinifera (wine grape). RNAcentral's name for it is "Plant signal recognition particle RNA". It matches the Rfam family "Plant signal recognition particle RNA". Lineage: Eukaryota; Viridiplantae; Streptophyta; Magnoliopsida; Vitales; Vitaceae. The record is from Rfam by way of RNAcentral.